CCGAGCGCCGGGCCCGCCCUCAUGGUGGCGGUGGCGGCGGCCGAGCGGACAGACUGGCGGACACACUGCACGAGUUGAGGUCAGGCCAGGCGAGGGCGUGGUAUGUUACGGUGACCUGGGGAAGAGACCUGAGCAGGAGAGGCCAUCGGGACCCAGAGCGGAAGUAGGGCCAGGGGGAGAGGAGCCGAGGUCCGUGGGAUCUGUCUGCCUGUCUGUCUUUGUGAGUGGAGUGGCAGGCAAGUGCAAGGUGGUGUGUACCCAGGCACACUGUACUGGGGAGGAGCUGAGGUACUGCCCCAGCAUUGACCUGCCUGCCUGCCCAUCUACCUGCUUGCCCACCCUCCCCUGCAUUUGGACUGGAGAGGCUCACUCCUCCACUGGACAGGAGCCAGAGAACUUGGGCAAAUCAACUUACUACGAAGAAGGGAGCCAGCUGGCCAGCCUAACUCCAACACAGCCUUGGUGGAUCAGGUACCAGUUUUGAGCCUUGGAAAGGAGACACUUCUAGAGCUUGGCAGAGAAAGACCCCAUCAGCAUACCAUCCUGACAACCUCCUUCCCUUCCUCCAUUGAUAGCUGAUCUCCUGUUGCCUCCCUUUGGGGAGGAGCUGCCUCACUGGUGCUCCAUCCGUUUAUGAUGGUAAUGGGGGCUAUAAACUGACACUGGAAAGCUCAACAUUCUGACUAAGCCGGGAGGGGCCAAAGGAAAAAGGAGCGGAAGAUUGGAGAGGGUCUGAUGAUGGGGAGCUCUCUGGUUGGACCUGUUGAUUCUCUGACUUGGAAGGAGGAAGUCAGGGGUACUGCCAGUACCCUUGGAGGGACCAUCACUUACUGGUGAUUGUUCUCCCUUCCCCUGCCCUUCAGUGGCUUGGGAAGCUGGAGCCUCCUUAUCAGGGUAAUUAGCAGCAGACCCUGGACUGAGACUGGCCUCUGUCUCAAUAACUGCUUCCCUGCCGAGUGGAUCCUGCCUGCUGUGCACCACACAUACCAGCUGUGCACCCUGACCCUGUGGGGGGAGGGGACGGGAGAAAGGAGCAAGGUGGGGGUGGGCAUAGAUCUUCAAUGUCUUGGGCACUGAACUUAAUCAGCACAGUGACAGGCCAGAGGGUCAGGGGCACUGAGGCGAUUGCUUGCCCAGCUUUUCCUUCUACCUAUUCUCCAGCUGUCACGGGAAAGGUACUUGGGCCCCAGUCUCUGGACACUGAGGUCUAGGGCUUCAGGAACCAGAACUGGGGAGCUUUGGGGAGGGGGGAAGGCAGAUAGUGACCAGUUCCCAGACUAGGAUUGAGUCAUUUGGAUAGACUGCUUCCUGGACCCCAGCCUUCUCCACAGAUUUGUCUAGGUAGCACUGUUGAGAGCCAGAGUCAGCACUAUGGAGGCAGUUUCUUGCCUUUGGGGCCAAAGGCUCGGAUUAUGGAGCAGCUAAUUGAACAAUAGCUACAGCGAGAUCCCAAGGAG
Long non-coding RNA from Vombatus ursinus (common wombat), 1457 nucleotides. The record is from Ensembl. NCBI's taxonomy places the organism in Eukaryota, Metazoa, Chordata, Mammalia, Diprotodontia, Vombatidae.